This is a non-coding RNA of Chiloscyllium plagiosum (whitespotted bambooshark), 317 nucleotides long. Lineage: Eukaryota; Metazoa; Chordata; Chondrichthyes; Orectolobiformes; Hemiscylliidae. The record is from RefSeq and is a predicted model, not a curated record.
UUCUUUUUUUUUGCAGCUUAACCUCAGAUGGCAUUUCCUAUGCACGGAAGAAUUUGCAUUGCCGCAUAAGGAAUUGUUUGCUACAGAAAAGCACAGCCAAUAUUGCCCAUGAUAACGAACAAGAGUAAGCCAUUCAGCCCCUGGAGAAUGAUCCACCAUUCAAUUAGAUUGGGGUUUUCAGAUGGUCAUUUACCUCAGGGAACAGGCAAGAAUGUGAAAGUCGCUGGCCAGGUCAGGAGGCUAUCAGACUGUCAAUACAAAAAAUUGUAGCCAUGGUUAAAUCUAGCCGGAUAAAUGGGAACAGGAAAGGAAUUCUC